Molecule: non-coding RNA, 73 nt
Organism: Podarcis lilfordi (Lilford's wall lizard)
Lineage: Eukaryota; Metazoa; Chordata; Lepidosauria; Squamata; Lacertidae
Source: the annotation of a GenBank genome assembly
GCUGGAAUAACUCAGUCAGUAGAGCAUGGGACUCUUAAUCUCAGGCUUGUGGGUUUGAGCCCUGCGUUGAGCA